CGCGCAGGUGGUUUCUUAAGUCUGAUGUGAAAGCCCACGGCUCAACCGUGGAGGGUCAUUGGAAACCGGGAGACUUGAGUGCAGAAGAGGAUAGUGGAAUUCCAAGUGUAGCGGUGAAAUGCGUAGAGAUUUGGAGGAACACCAGUGGCGAAGGCGACUGUCUGGUCUGUAACUGACACUGAGGCGCGAAAGCGUGGGAGCAAACA
RNAcentral lists this ribosomal RNA (206 nucleotides) under uncultured bacterium. RNAcentral describes it as "partial 16S ribosomal RNA". It matches the Rfam family "Bacterial small subunit ribosomal RNA", at positions 568 to 774 of the family's 1533-position model. The record is from RNAcentral.